RNAcentral lists this ribosomal RNA (253 nucleotides) under uncultured bacterium. RNAcentral's name for it is "partial 16S ribosomal RNA". It matches the Rfam family "Bacterial small subunit ribosomal RNA", at positions 524 to 776 of the family's 1533-position model. The record is from RNAcentral.
UACGUAGGGCGCGAGCGUUGUCCGGAUUUAUUGGGCGUAAAGAGCUCGUAGGCGGUUUGUCGCGUCUGCUGUGAAAUCUCGGGGCUUAACCCCGGGCCUGCAGUGGGUACGGGCAGACUAGAGUGCGGUAGGGGAGAGUGGAAUUCCUGGUGUAGCGGUGAAAUGCGCAGAUAUCAGGAGGAACACCGGUGGCGAAGGCGGGUCUCUGGGCCGUAACUGACGCUGAGGAGCGAAAGCGUGGGGAGCGAACAGG